Molecule: ribosomal RNA, 400 nt
Filed under: uncultured bacterium
Lineage: Bacteria
Description: bacterial SSU rRNA
Rfam family: Bacterial small subunit ribosomal RNA
Source: RNAcentral
UGGGGAAUUUUGGGCAAUGGGGGAGACCCUGACCCAGCGACGCCGCGUGAGGGACGAAGGCCCUUGGGUCGUAAACCUCUUUUGCAGGGGAAGAAGAAGAUGACGGUACCUUGCGAACAAGUCCCGGCUAACUACGUGCCAGCAGCCGCGGUAACACGUAGGGGACGAGCGUUGUCCGGAAUUACUGGGCGUAAAGGGCGCGCAGGCUGUGCGUCGAGUCGGCUGUUGAAAGGCGGGGCUCAACCCCGCGAAGCGGUCGAGACCGGCGUGCUGGAGUACUGCAGAGGCAGGCGGAAUUCCCGGUGUAGCGGUGAAAUGCGUAGAUAUCGGGAAGAACACCGGUGGCGAAGGCGGCCUGCUGGGCAGUAACUGACGCUGAGGCGCGAGAGCCAGGGUAGCG